CUUAUGGGGGCACCCUGAUCUAGCCAUGCCGCGUGAGUGAUGAAGGCCUUAGGGUCGUAAAGCUCUUUCGCCUGUGAUGAUAAUGACAGUAGCAGGUAAAGAAACCCCGGCUAACUCCGUGCCAGCAGCCGCGGUAAUACGGAGGGGGUUAGCGUUGUUCGGAAUUACUGGGCGUAAAGCGCGCGUAGGCGGAUUAGAAAGUUGGGGGUGAAAUCCCGGGGCUCAACCUCGGAACUGCCUCCAAAACUGCUAGUCUAGAGUUCGAGAGAGGUGAGUGGAAUUCCGAGUGUAUAGGUGAAAUUCGUAGAUAUUCGGAGGAACACCAGUGGCGAAGGCGGCUCACUGGCUCGAUACUGACGCUGAGGUGCGAAAGUGUGGGGAGCAAACAGGAUUAGAUACCCUGGUAGUCCACACCGUAAACGAUGAAUGCCAGUCGUCGGAUAGUAUACUAUUCGGUGACACACCUAACGGAUUAAGCAUUCCGCCUGGGGAGUACGGUCGCAAGAUUAAAACUCAAAGGAAAUUGACGGA
Molecule: ribosomal RNA, 531 nt
Filed under: uncultured bacterium
Lineage: Bacteria
Description: bacterial SSU rRNA
Rfam family: Bacterial small subunit ribosomal RNA
Source: RNAcentral